RNAcentral lists this ribosomal RNA (384 nucleotides) under uncultured bacterium. RNAcentral describes it as "bacterial SSU rRNA". It matches the Rfam family "Bacterial small subunit ribosomal RNA", at positions 29 to 416 of the family's 1533-position model. The record is from RNAcentral.
AUUGAACGCUGGCGGAAUGCUUUACACAUGCAAGUCGAGCGGCAGCGCGGGGCAACCUGGCGGCGAGCGGCGAACGGGUGAGUAAUACAUCGGAACGUACCCAGUUGUGGGGGAUAGCCCGGCGAAAGCCGGAUUAAUACCGCAUACGACCUGAGGGUGAAAGGGGGGGAUCGCAAGACCUCUCGCAGUUGGAGCGGCCGAUGGCGGAUUAGCUAGUUGGUGAGGUAAAGGCUCACCAAGGCGACGAUCCGUAGCUGGUCUGAGAGGACGACCAGCCACACUGGAACUGAGACACGGUCCAGACUCCUACGGGAGGCAGCAGUGGGGAAUUUUGGACAAUGGGCGCAAGCCUGAUCCAGCCAUGCCGCGUGAGUGAAGAAGGCC